AUUGAACGCUGGCGGCAUGCCUUACACAUGCAAGUCGAACGGCAGCACGGGAGCAAUCCUGGUGGCGGGUGGCGAACGGGUGAGUAAUGUAUCGGAACGUGCCCAGUCGUGGGGGAUAACGUAGCGAAAGCUACGCUAAUACCGCAUACGAUCUAUGGAUGAAAGCGGGGGAUCGCAAGACCUCGCGCGAUUGGAGCGGCCGAUAUCCGAUUAGGUAGUUGGUGGGGUAAAGGCUCACCAAGCCGACGAUCUGUAGCUGGUCUGGGAGGACGACCAGCCAGACUGGGACUGAGACACGGCCCAGACUCCUACGGGAGGCAGCAGUGGGGAAUUUUGGACAAUGGGCGCAAGCCUGAUCCAGCAAUGCCGCGUGCAGGAUGAAGGCCUUCGGGUUGUAAACUGCUUUUGUACGGAACGAAACGGCGAGCUCUAAUACAGCUUGCUAAUGACGGUACCGUAAGAAUAAGCACCGGCUAACUACGUGCCAGCCGCCGCAGUAA
Molecule: ribosomal RNA, 500 nt
Filed under: uncultured bacterium
Lineage: Bacteria
Description: partial 16S ribosomal RNA
Rfam family: Bacterial small subunit ribosomal RNA
Source: RNAcentral